RNAcentral lists this ribosomal RNA (253 nucleotides) under uncultured bacterium. RNAcentral describes it as "partial 16S ribosomal RNA". It matches the Rfam family "Bacterial small subunit ribosomal RNA", at positions 524 to 776 of the family's 1533-position model. The record is from RNAcentral.
UACGUAGGGUGCGAGCGUUGUCCGGAAUUAUUGGGCGUAAAGAGCUCGUAGGCGGCCUGUCGCGUCGGUUGUGAAAGCCCGGGGCUUAACCCCGGGUCUGCAGUCGAUACGGGCAGGCUAGAGUUCGGUAGGGGAGAUCGGAAUUCCUGGUGUAGCGGUGAAAUGCGCAGAUAUCAGGAGGAACACCGGUGGCGAAGGCGGAUCUCUGGGCCGAUACUGACGCUGAGGCGCGAAAGCCAGGGGAGCAAACGGG